AUGGCGCUCCGGCAACUCUACAUCUGCGUCCUGUUGGUAUUUCUUCUCCUGGUGGUCGCUUUUGCUGGCCGCCCAAGCACGCCACAGCAGACGUCCAUGGCCUUGGCCCGCGACGACUGCUACAAGACUGUGACGAGUGUGCCGAAGUGGUGCUCGGGGCAAUUCAUCCAGGCGCUCUUCACCGGCAACAAGAACAUCAUCACCGAAUACUGUUGCGCACAGCUCACCUGCGUCGGCGAGGCAACGUGUGCCUCCGCGCUCCACGGCGUCUGCCCACCCCCCAAGACUAAUCUGCCAUGCCCCCCGCACCAGGGCGGUGGUAUCUAUGAUAGACAUACGUAG
This 342-nucleotide ribosomal RNA is filed under the name Triticum aestivum (bread wheat). RNAcentral describes it as "partial small subunit ribosomal RNA". Lineage: Eukaryota; Viridiplantae; Streptophyta; Magnoliopsida; Poales; Poaceae. The record is from RNAcentral.